UGGUUCAUUUUCCUAAUGGCUAGUCUGAUUGUUUCUUUAUAAUUUGGUAUAGAUUCAAAAUUGGAAGUAGAGGAGUUUUCGAGGUGUUUCUGAUCAUUAGCAAAACAGAUAUAUCCCCUUUGACUAUUUCUUGAUUUUUUUAUGAUGUGUAUAUAUUGAGUCUGACAAUUUUGCAUAUAUGAAGAAUGGCAUUUAUAUGGUAUUCAUAUUUUGAC
RNAcentral lists this long non-coding RNA (215 nucleotides) under Mytilus galloprovincialis (Mediterranean mussel). The record is from RNAcentral. Lineage: Eukaryota; Metazoa; Mollusca; Bivalvia; Mytilida; Mytilidae.